CCUACGGGGGGCAGCAGUCGAGAAUCAUUCACAAUGGGGGAAACCCUGAUGGUGCGACGCCGCGUGGGGGAAUGAAGGUCUUCGGAUUGUAAACCCCUGUCAUGUGGGAGCAAAUUAAAAAGAUAGUACCACAAGAGGAAGAGACGGCUAACUCUGUGCCAGCAGCCGCGGUAAUACAGAGGUCUCAAGCGUUGUUCGGAAUCACUGGGCGUAAAGCGUGCGUAGGCUGUUUCGUAAGUCGUGUGUGAAAGGCGCGGGCUCAACCCGCGGACGGCACAUGAUACUGCGAGACUAGAGUAAUGGAGGGGGAACCGGAAUUCUCGGUGUAGCAGUGAAAUGCGUAGAUAGCGAGAGGAACACUCGUGGCGAAGGCGGGUUCCUAGACAUUAACUGACGCUGAGGCACGAAGGCCAGGGGAGCGAAAGGGAUUAGAUACCCUGGUAGUC
RNAcentral lists this ribosomal RNA (446 nucleotides) under uncultured bacterium. RNAcentral describes it as "partial 16S ribosomal RNA". It matches the Rfam family "Bacterial small subunit ribosomal RNA", at positions 338 to 795 of the family's 1533-position model. The record is from RNAcentral.